AGAAGGCCAGCCAGGAAUCACAACACGUUGACAUUGGGAUCUUGGAGAGCCCAGCUAAUUCUAGAAUUCGGAGAAGCCAAUAUUUGGUGUUUCACCUACCCAGCCUGUGGUCCUUUGUGACCUUAGCCUGAGUAGACACAUACAAUGUAUCUUUUUUCUGCUGGGGUUUCAGGUUCUCUAGAGAGGCUAGCUUCCUUCCUUUUUCUGCUUUUAUGAACCUCUUCUCAGAAGUGGUAAAGCAGCUCUAUUUUCUAGAAAUAAAUGCCAAAUUAAUAAAACGAAUGAAGGAUGUAAAGUACUAUUCUAUAGCUGGGGUCCCUUGAGACUAAUUACAAUAACUGCUCAUUUGUUACCAGCUAUCACUGUAGCCUGUGCAAUGGCUUCCGACAGAAAGGGAAGGAGGACAGGCAGCUUACAGCACCUGUACAAAAUGGCAGAGUUGGUGGCAAAUUAAAACUGAUUUAAGAUUUUAUCUCACCCUAUUCGAAAUGGCCACCAUCAAGAAAGCAAAUGUAAAAUGCCAGAGAGAGAGAGAGAGAGAGAGAGAGAGAGAGAGAGAGAGAGAGAGAGAGAGAGAGAGAGAGGAGCCCUUUACAUCUCUUAUAAAAUUGCAUGUAAAGUGUUGCAGUCACUCUGGAAGUCGGUCUAAACCACCGAAUUGUGCAGCUAAGAACUGCGUGUAUAGCCACAUACACUCAAACAGAGGCAGUUGGAGUCUGUGCUCAUUAAAGCUCUAGUCACAGCAGGGAAGAAACAGAACCAGCACAGUCACCUAUCAACAGAUGCAUGGAUAAAGAGAUGUGCUACGCGGACACCAAAGGGACUUCACGAAGCCAGUUUUGUUUUGUUUUGUUUUGUUUUGUUUGCCAGCCCCAUUUGGUUCUAUCCUCAUUCUCUGGGCUAUCCAGGGGGUGAGCUCCCUCUCUUGACUGGACCAAUCACUGGUUGGCCACUCCCACAAUUUCUGUGCCACCUUUACCCCAGCAUAUCUUGUACGCAGGACAAAUUGUAGGUUGAAGGUUGUGUGGCCCCUACUGGGUUGCUUCAUCCAGCCUUAACACGAAGAGAGGUGCCAAAUCCUAGUGCAACUUGAUAUGCCAUGUUUGGUUAAUAUUCAUGGGAGGCCUGCCAUUUUCUGAAGAGAAAUGGAGGAGGAAUGGAUGGUGGGGGCAGAGGGGAGGUGCAGGGGGCCGAGGAGCUGGGAGGUGAGGGAGAAGGGGAAAAUGAGGUUAAGAUGUAAAAAACUAUAAUAAUACUAAUAUUAAUAAAAAUAUAAAUACCUAGGGGUCUUCAGAAUUACUCACUGCGAGGGAGUUGGGAGGCAAAGUACAGGCACAUAAUGAUGAUGAUAACGAGGAAGAGGAUAACAGUAGCCAGGACAAAUUUCUCUGAGCUGGAUCUUUGCUGACCCACCGGCUCCUACCCCAUGUUCCUUGGUAUUUAGCAUGGUAAUACACAGAUGCAAAUGACUACUAAUAAAGUACUGAAUCUUUGUUGGAUCCAUCUGUCAAACCUCUUCAUUUGCUUCACUAAUCAGAUCUUCAUUUCCUUGGCUCAUCUGAUCUCUAUUUCCUGGAGAGCCAAAACAAAACAAAGCAAGCAACUCAGGGUGCCUUGUCCUCAGAAGAUGCAGCAGGAAGGAGGGGGCCAGCGCUUCACCAGGCUCUGGGCUGCUUGCUCUUCCCACAUGCAUUAGCUUAAAAGCAGCAACUAAGAGUUAAGGCUUAUUUCUUCACUACAGUUCAGCUCUGCACAGGGGACUGAUUUUAGGACUCCCCAAGGACACGGAUGUCCUAGAGUACUGUUAUAUAAAACUUGGGAUACUUUAAAAAGCAUAUGCAUAUUCUCUUGCAUAGUUAAAAUAAUUUCUGGAUUAUAAUGAGACAGUGUAGAUGACGUGUAAACAGUUAUCCUGAAUGGUUGAGGGAAUAUCGACAAAAGAAAAUGCCUCUGCAUGUGGAAUGCAGAUAGAUCUUUUCCCCUUAAAUACUUUCAUGUGUGGCUUAAGCCAUGAACACAGAACAUGAGGACACAAACCAGUUACGUUGAGUUUGAUUUUGCCUUACAAAACUCACAUGAGGGAAUGGGAUGAAGGCUCAACUGGUUAAAAAACAAAAGCUUGCCUUGGAAGCACCGACAGGGCUUGAGUUGGAUUCUCAGAAUGCACUUACAAAGCCAUUUGUGGUGGGGUGUGCUUAUAAGUCCAGUACUAGGAGACAGAGGCAGGUAGGUGAGCCCUGACUACUUGGUAAGCACUGGGCCAGUGAAAGACUCUGUCUCAAAAACCAAGGUGGAUAGUUCCUGAAGAAAACUACCCAAGGUUGUCUUCUGUUUUCCCCAACUCCCAUGCAUGCAUGAACACAUGCAUACACACACACACAAAAGAACGGUUAUGACUAACUCAUGUCUUCUAUUCCUUUGCAAUUGGUACUAUGCUAAUUCUGUCUCUACUGAAUGUGCUGGGGACCCUGCAUGGCUUGUUUUCUUGGCCCUAAUUCCUUUCCACUGAAAAGGGGUCUAUAAUGAAUGGUGUUCUACACUUCAAAGUCAACGAGUAGUUCUGCCCACCAUGACUCCCUUCCCUGAAGAGCCCCUGUAAUCCCCAGAUUCUAUACAUUAGAUUAGCAGUACUGCUUCAUUUUCAAUUUGAACAUCCCAACCACUUGGAGAGCAGGAGACUAUUCAUCAUAGGCCAGCCUCCAUCCCCAGUGUUAUACGAAUAAAAGAAAUCCAACUAUUAACACUUGUAUGAUGGGAUAACUGAGUAAGAAUAUCUGGACCAAUUAUGUAGACUUGCUAAAGCCAACACUGGAAGGGGGCUUGGUCUUUUCAAUUCAGUACCGUGUGGUGCAUACAACACAAGGCACGAUGGCAAGCAUAGGCUAGAUCCGUACAGAUCCAGCCACGCUGGAAGCCUCGGAGGUUUACCCGUACAGAUCCAGCCAUGCUGGAAGCCUCGGAGGUUUACCCGUACAGAUUUAUGGGGGACAGGGAAUGUCUUCCUGCUCUUUCUACCUCUGCUGCCUUACCAGGUACUUUUUUGUGUCUCUAAUGACCUCAGAUUCUUGCUCAGGGCCUCCCUAAAGCAGGACCACCUGCGUGGAAUUCUGUCCUUAUAGCUGGCAGUGCUGGCUGCUAAUGGGCCACUGCUUAAGACGGAAACGGUGAGAAGCUGACAAGGUCUCGCUGACACAGGAAGGGAAGACUACAUGUGGGAUGUACAAACAAGUAGUUUCCCAAUAUUCUGGAAGGAAGACUCAUGAUGGAAGCAUUCUCUCCCAGUGGAUCUCAACGCGUGUUCACAAGACCAACCCUCUGGACAAGCCUUCUUGAGUCCCUGGAAUUUAUCACAGGGGUUAUGGCCUUAGUAUUCCCUGCCCCAGUCAAAGAGCUGUCGCCUAUCUUUCUCCCUUUUAAACUAACGAGGCCUCUCCAAACCCCUUGUGCACACAGAGCCUGUAGCAGAUCUGGAGAAUGAGAUGGAUUUUUAAGUAACCAUGCUUGGCAGAGUGAUUUCUCCUCAGUACACAUCUGGGUUACAUCUGUCAGAAUCUGUGUUCCUUCACAGGAGUGCCAGUCUCAUCCCUGCUCGUAAAUAUUAGACCAAAUCACCCAUCUCUUGGCAAGAUGGCUUUUUACAAAUUAGCAGCACCAACUUCCAGAUUAGCUUCCACGGAGGCGCCUAAGGUAUCUUAAGAUGUCUCAUUAUUGCUUUUCCCUCCAGACUCUUGAGAAGUUUUAUGAGCUUUCAGGAACAGAAAGUUGUUUUGAGAUGUGCAUGGAUUCUAAACUUUAAUUUUGAAGGUACACUGCUACUUUUUGGUGGGAUGACUGGUGGCAGUGACUGCCUUUCUGUUUCUUUUUCUUCUUUUAACUUCAAAAUACAUAGGGCAACAACAGCAACCCUUAAGUGUUUAUUUUGGAAAGAGCCCACCCCCACCUUUAUUCUUGCUCCCAUACUUCCUGGUAGCAUAUAAUCAAUACAUACUCUGAACUUAGGUUUUAGACAACUCAGCAGACAUAAGCAUUCCCAGUGUCAUCAACAGAAGUAUUUUAUUGCUCACAGAUGUCACCUUGCUAUCUUCAGGUUUUUUUUUUCUUUUUCUGCUUGCACCUCGUUUAUUUUACUGUGUCACAAUGGAAUGUCUGCCUGAGACUCUUUCCAGUGUUUCCUGCAAUGGAAGGAUGCUUUGCCAAUAACAGCAAGUUCAGUACAGAAGGGUCAACAAGCCGCACCUGCCUGGAGCUCAUGAAGUGUGCAACUGGUGCCCAGCUGUGUGAGGUUCCACGAUGCUGAGGAAACAUCUUCUGUUAGGGGAUGCUUGUGGACCAGACCCCUGUACCCCAGAGGAAGCUGCUGAUCUGUCAAAUGGAAGCUUGGGCCUUUGAGUAUUUCACAGUAUAAUCAGACUUUCUAAGCCAGCAGAGUAAAUGAUCAGGCUACCUUUGGCUUUUUUUCAGUGCCCCUUAGAGAAAAUAUCUCAGUUGUAGGUUAGAGGGCCAGAGCAGCACAGAGCUGAUGAGACUCCUGGUGCUUUUGCCUCAGUACUUGACUGGGAGUCCAGCAUCAGAGGUAAGUGUGACUUCUAUUUGACAGCUGUGGAGUGCAGGAUGAUUUAGAUAUAAUGUUUCUUUAAGUAGAGGAUGCAUAUUGAGACAGUCAGUGGACUCUGGAACAAGAUAAGUAUAUUCUAAGCAUGGGUGUGUAAUAACAUCUGAGUCUAAGCUGAGUGUGUAUAUAUGGCAUAGCAGAUCCUAAGCAUAGGUAUGUGAGCUCAGCAGAUCUUAGUAUAGGUACUUAGAGGGAAAGUUCCAGUCAUAUACCUUAGAAAAAGAAACUGCAUUUGACUCUAGAGAAGAUUUACUGUAUACGUUAUAGGAGCCAUAGGUCACAGGUGCACAUGUUCUUAAUAAUAUCUAUUCAAGAGAGAAAACUACAAAGAAAAGGUCCUACCAUUAAGAUCCCAUUGUAAGUAUCAAAGUCUCAAACUGUAUAUAACAUUUAGAGAGAAACUGGCUCUUAGUAUGCAGCCUCGGCUGGCUAUGUAACUAUGUAACUAUGUUCACUAUGUAACUCAGGAUAGCCUAGAGCUCACUAUGUAGCCAAGGCUGGCCUAGAGCUCACUAUGCAGCCAAGGCUGGCCUAGAGAUCACUAUACAGCCAAUGCUGGCCUAGAGCUCACUAUGCAGCCAAGGCUGGUCUUAGACUGGCUGUUAUCUUUCUGCCAGCAUGUAUUUUCUCUCUUCUAUCUUUGGUAGACUUGUAAGACCAUGUUAUCAACUAGGUUAAUGUUCUUAAUUUUCGCUGUCGUGAAUCCAAAGAAACUGAAAAGUAUAGCCUUGUUGCCCUUUUCUUUUAGUAGUUAAGUUGUUAAUUUUAUUUCUCCAAAGCUCCAAUUUUCUUACUAAGAAUACCAAUUUUUAUAAAAAAAUAUUUUUUAGACUUAUUUUAUUAUUUUAAGUGUUUGGGUGUUUUGCCUGCAUGUUAUAAUAUAGCUGUGCCUUGCAUGUAUGCCUGGUGCCUGAGACCAGAGAGAGCAUCAGACCUAAUGGGCCUGGAGUUUCAGAUGGUUGUAAUCAUCAUGUUGGUGCUGGUACUCAAACCUGGAGCCUCUGCAAGAGCAGCUUGUACUCUAAAUCUCUGAGCCAUCUCUCCACCCCAUUGGGGAGCCAAUUUAAAAUCUUUCAAUCACCCUUUGCUCUGUUGGUUUAACAAUUCAUCUUAGUAUCUAAGGUGUUUAAUGGAUUUUCUCUGUUCAAAGCACUGCCUUUUUCUAGCAUAAUUCAAGAAUUAGUAAUUACACUCCCAAAGCAAGUGGCUGUAACCCAUGAGCUGCAUGUCAGGCCCAUAAGUUCUCCACAGCCGAGGAACAAUGAUCAUAAGAAAAGAAUCGAUAGCUUCCUACUUCCCAGAGCAAUAUUGUCUGCCAAAAUUAACCUCCAUCAGCAUCACCCAUGAGGGAUGACAAGAUGGAAAGCUACCUGCAUUUCCUACAAUUGUUCUUUGGGCAUCUGGAGUGUCUGUUUCAAGGAUCCAAUGAAAAGGUCUAGAAAACAAAUAUACAAAGUUACACUAAUAUGUUUCUUUUGUGUGUUCUCAAAGCUGAAUCUAAGAGAAAUGCAGUGCUCAAUGGCUGAAGAGACUGCUCUAGUCUAACGCUUCUUUGUGAAGUUAGCAUCAGAGUAGUUAUGAUAAAGAGGAUGUUAGGAGAUGUGGGGUAAGAGGUUGUCCUUUGUUCUUUGGCCAGGAAUUCUGGGGCAAGUAACAUCUGAUUCCAAUCCCCCACUUUAGAAAAAAACAAACCAUCACUUAGAAAGUGCAAUGGUUUAGAUGUUGUCUCCAAAGGUUCAUAGUUUGGUCUCCAGGUUAGUGAUUUUGGGGGUUGAUUGGAAAACCUUUAAGAUGUGUUAGGUCACUUACAGUUGGGUUCUCAGAAGGGGCUAUGAAGCCUCACUGUUUUUCUCAUCCCUGUAAAAGGUAUUUAAUCUCAGGCCUACCCUGAGAAAAGAGGGUACAUAUCCAUUUUCCACCAUGACAAUAAACUGUUUAAAACGGUGGACUGUCUCUUUUCACCAAUGUACUCCAUGGAGGGCCAUGAAGAAGGCCUUUGCCUACAGAGCUACAACCUAAUCUCCCAAAGAAGACCCCUCUGCACUCCCAGCCCAACUGCCACCAACCCUGCAAGCUAAGGACAAUCAUCUCUGCUGGGACAAGCUGGAGUUUCCUUUCCUACCCACCCCUGACCCCAAGCCCCAAGCCAGACACUGUCCCCAGCCCACUGACCCCAGUGGCGCCUAGAUGUCCAAGAAUCUGAGAACCCCAUGGCCCAAGCCUUGUCUCAGGCCCGGGGACCCCCUAACCAGCUUCAGCUUUCCCACAUCUCAGACUGUGUUUUCUCACGCCCCAGAGCAGUGUUUCAGUGCUUCCCUACAGCCUAGCACCCACCAUGUUGGCAGUGUGCAGUCAAAUUCCCUGCAUUCCACCUCCCCAAGUGGCUGUGCUCAAUGGCAGAGCAGACUGGGGCCCACAACCCUACAGUUAGGGGCAUGGACCAUUGUGUCUGGUGCACCUGAAGUAUAUUUCUUCAGGCACAAAAUAUUGAGCACAGGCCCAGAGAUACAGCUCAACAGUAGGAUGCUUGCCCAGCAUGUGUAAGGCCCUGGGUUCAGACCCCAGGACAAAAAGAGAAGAAGAGCUAAAGAUUAAAGAAAUAUGUAACGUUCUCUGCAAUAUCCCGAGCAUGUGGUAUUUACUCAAGACUGUGAAUCUCUCUACUUCUCUUUAUACAACAAGAACAACAACAAAAAAAUGCUUACCAUGAACCAAGUGCCCUCCCAUAUUUUCAUGACAUGUAGAAAAUAUACUUAUUACUUCCCCUUUUUUCCCCUCAGAUAAGCAAAAAGAAAGGAUGAGCUGUUUGCUCAAAGUUGUGCAGGCAGUAGGUAGCUGGGCUGGGCCUUGAGUAAGCCUGAUGACGAAGAGCUUCUUGGCAGAGGGAUACAUCAGGGACAGGUGACUUCAGUACAUCUCCCUGCUGUCCAGCAAAAGCCACACUGCACUUUCUUAGUGUCCUUCCGAUUUCACCCCAUUUCCUGAGGCCUGGUCAGAUGAAACAGUUCUGUGAUGAGGCUUGGUCGAUCCCUAAAACUAGAGGCUGCUUUUGCUGUGAGGAAGCAUAUAGCGAGUCUCUAGGUGGGAGGAUGAAACAAGAUGAUAUGCAAAUUGGAUUUUGGAGUUCUGACUCCGAUGAGCUACAAUUUCUUUUCCAGAAGUAAUCAUGAGUUACAACCAGGCAUUUCAGUUAUCCUUGCUGGGAUGUGUCCAAUGACAGUGACACCAAGUUUAAGGUCCUGGAUAAUGUGUGCAUGUAUGUGGGUAGGAAGGUAGGUUAUGUGUAAAUCUAUAUCCAUAUAUUUUUUAUGUUGGACUUUUGUCUGUAUAAGUACUUCUUUAGGCAUAUAUGUCUAUUAUGUAAUAUGCACACACAAACAUGUGCAUCUAUAGAUUGUAUAUAUGCAUUCAUAUUUUUGUGCAUUGGUAUGUGUCCACAUACAUUUCCAUGAAUGCAUAUGUAUACGUCUUCUGCCUAUUCAACUUACUGUGUCGAUUAUGUGCCAACUGUAUAACAAGGAUGAUAUUUUCUUUAAUUCACUUUUUUUGCAUUAAUUUUGACUUGUCAAAUCUAAUUUUCUAAUUAACUGCUUAUUUAAAUAACAGCGGCAGUGUUAUGGCAUUAUAGUCCCUAAAAAAUACAUUCCACUGUUUUCUCUGCACAGCAGGUGCUUGAGAGCACUCUUUUGCGCUGACAGCUCAGGUUGGGGGUAUAAAUCUUUAUUUACAGAACAAAUAAUGUGUUUAUUAAUUUUUUUCAAUGGGAUUUGGGCCUAUAAAUCUACUAAUCGUUCUCCCUGCUGUGCGUGUUAAGUUACCAGGGAGGGCCCGAGCUGCAAGUGUUGUUAUAGCCUCUAGGUGCACACGUUGUUUCCCUGCAGACUUCCCCCAUUGCUUCAUUUAAUGAGCUAUAGCAGGGAAAUUCAACACAUGGCCUUCUGCGAGACAACUGUCACUGAGCGUGAAGGUAGUUCUUCUGUCUGACACUGUCCCUAAAUCUAGGGUUGCAAAUCCACAGGCAACUGCAGAAGACAUGGCUCGUCUCAUGAGAGCUGCCAUGACUGCGGGGAUCAGCUGUUGCCAGGAGGAAAGAAUGCACAUCCAGAUUGCCAAGGUCAGAAUUCAGGUUCAUUUGCAAACCCUGCGGUAUUUAAAUGUUGGCUCUCAUCAGAGCUGCAGUAAGAGAAUUUGGAUAAGCAAAACCAUACAUGCACGUGUGUGAGUGUGCAUAUAUGUGGACAUUUGGUGUGGUUUGUGUGCACAUUUUUUUCUUGUUUUUUUUCCCCUUUUCUUGGAUAUUUUCUUUAUUUACAUGUCAAAUGUUAUCCCCUUUCCAGGUCUCCCCUCUGGAAACCCUCUAUCCCAUCCUCUUUUCCCCUGCCUCUAUGAUAGUUCUCCCCCUCCCACCCACCCACUCCUGCCUUCCUGCCCUGGCAUUCCCAUACUGGGGCAUCGCAUCCCCUCAGACCCAAGGGUGGCUCCUCCCACUGAUGUCCAAUAAGGCCACCCUCUGCCACAUAUGCAGCCGAAAUCAAGGGUCCCUCCAUGUGUACUCUUUGGUUGGUGGUCCAGUCCCCGGGAGCUCUGGGGGGUCUGACGGGGGUGGGGUAAUGGUGGUCUGGCUGGCUGACACUGUUGCUCCCCACAUGUAGCUGCAAACCCCUUCAGCUCCUUUAGUCCCUUCUCCAACUACUCCAUUUGGGACCAGUCCAAUGGUUGGCUGAGAGCAUACGCCUCUGUAUUUGUCAGGCUCUGGCAGAGCCUCUCAGGAGACAGCCAUAUCAAGGCUCAUGUCAGCAUCACUUCCUGGCAUCUGAAAUAGCUUCCAGGUUUGGCAACUAUAUAUGGUAUGGAUCUCUAGGUGGGGCCGUCUCUGGAUGGCCAUUUGUACAUGUGUGCAUCAGUGUGUGCAAGGGCAUAUAUAGACAUAGGGCAUUGGGAUUGACUUUCACUUUGAAUACUGGUGUAUACUCUAAGGGAAGCUUUUGGAGUAUGGAAGUCUGUCUCUACUCAUCCCAACAGUCCCAGACAUGGCUAGACUAGAGAGCAGGUAUUCCAACUGAUGAAAUCACACGUGGGCCCUGCAUAGAUAUGGGGAGGAGAGUUUGGUUAAAUCAUUAGAGCGCGAUCUAUUUUCUUUUCUCUAGAAGUGUUUCUUGCAAUUCUUUCAUCCCAAAGGGAGGCAUAAAUUUUAGUAAGGACCACCAAUGAAUUAGAUAUUUUUAGAGGUUGUUUUGUUUCUUCUAUGUGUCUGUGUGAACUUGUUUGCUCUAAAUUUGGAGAUGUAUAUCAAUGGGAGUUUUUAACUUUUUUUUUUUUAAUUACAGCAAAGAACAAAACCUGGCAGAUUUGAACUGCCUGGUGAAUCCAUAAAUCAGCUGUCCUAGGUUAGUGUGCUCAAAUAACCACCUGAGGUUACAGGUUGAACGCCUAUCUAUUAAAUAUGUCUGAACAUCAUUCUGCCCCAAAUAUGAAAUGCAAGACAUCUGCAUUUUUCUCAGUGCUUGCAUAAUGCCAUAGGUGGAGACUUCCACAUCUGACAAUCCAUAAGCAGGCACACUGAACACAUUGGACUAGGCUCUGUGGGAGCACAACAUAUAAAAACCAUGAAGGUAUUUCAUGGUUAGAUAUGGGUCCGUUUCCAAAGAUACCAUUUUAUGUAUAUGCAAACAGUCUUCCAAAAUCUGAAUUAAAAAAAAUGGAAAUCCACAACAUGUGGCUCCCAAGCCUUUCAGAUCUGGGCUACUCAAGUCACGCAGAGAGAGCUCUGCAUGGAGCAGGCCUUUGGAUAACCUAGGAACUGACUCUAAUGGGUUGCUGAUUGAUUGGUGGGCUGAGCAAUGAUAACUCUGAUGACCUGAGAGGUUUCACUGCAGGUGAUGCUACGAGGAAGGCGGUAUUUUAAAUGACCUCAUGCUCUUAAGGACUGUAGUUAAUGUCUCCGUAGUUGUUCAUGAUCAAUUAGUGAAAAGAUAAGCCACUAUAAGCAUGCCUGCUGGUCUCUCUAGAGCAAAUACAAUUCUGAGAAGGACGGGGUGAUAUCAGUUCUCAAUGCUACAAGCAAAAGGUUUAGAAUCUAGCUUAACAGCUAUUAGGCCUUGGGGAAACAUGAAUAGUCUAUCAAGAAAUUUCAGGGAUGGGGGAGAUGGCUCAGUGAGUGCUUGAUAUGUAAUCAUAAGGACCUGACCUUUAACCCCACAUAAAAACCUGGGUGUGGCCCUGCUCCUGCCUCUAACCCCAGGUCUUCGAGAGGUGGGGACAGGAGGAUGACUGGUGCUUGGUGGCUCCCAGCCUACCUCCAGGCUCAGUGAGAGACCCUUUAUCAAGGGAAGAAGUCAAGUCAAAGAUUGAUAGAGUAGGACAUCUGGCAUCCUCCAUAUCCACACACAUGUGUGCAUGCACCACACACACAAACACAUGCAUGCACACACAUGCACAUGGACACACACCCCAUGGACACACAUGUGCACACACGUGCAAACAACAACAAAAACAUCAAAAGAUGUGAAGUUAACACAAUGGCAAAUUUCUCCCUUGGUGGGCCAUCUUUACAUCCUGUAUUAAUUUCUGGAGUAAUAUAAAGCAUUAAGAAUCACCCUGACAAUCCAAAACAAGACCAAAGAGCUUCAUGAAGUAGGUGCUGAGCAUUUGGUCUCAUGACAUUUCUAAGGUUCUUGCGGAAAUUAAUGUGCAGUUAGGAGCCUUUCUCCAGGGCAACUCCCCUGCUGCUGCCUCUGCUCCUUCACCUCUCCCCACCGCUCUUACUCCCAUCUCUACUGUGUAGUAUGCACCACGUCAAUGACUAUAAAUAAUAAAUCACCAGUCCAUUUUCACAAGGCAUUAGUCAUCCUCCUCCUUGCUUAUGACUUAGGACUAGUUUAUCAUUGUAUACCUCUGUCUCAUGAGAAACAGGGUCACAGUGUCAUUGCAUAGGAAUUAUAGGGAUAUGUGCUCCAGCUUGAGUGCCCCUGGAAGAUAUAUUUAAUUUUUGACUAGCAGGCAAAAUAACAUUGUAUGUGCCAUAAUACAAUCUCCCUCAUUUUCAAUUACUACUGUUGGUUACCUUAAAUUCACUAUAUCGAGGUAGUGGUGGCACAAGCCUUUAAUUUUAGCAGUUGAGAGCAGAGGCAAGAAGAUCUCUAUGAGUUCAAGGCCAUCCUGGUCUAUAGAGCAAGUUGCAGGACAGCCAGGGAUACACAAAGAGAAAUAAUGCCUUAAAAACAAACAAAAAACAACAACAAAUCUACUGUAUCCAUCCAUCCAUCCACCCACAUAUCACCCAUCCAUCAGUCAUCUAUAUCUAUCAUCCAUUCAUUAUCUACCUAUUCUUCCACCCAUCCAUCUACCCAUACAUUCAAUAUGUACUCUUGAGAUGGCAAGUGAGGAUCAAAGUCCUUCUGAGAUGUGGAUGCUGCCUAUAAACAGAGCUACAGGCCUGCAAAUGUUCUCAGGGACCAUCUGUUGGUGUAAUUGCCCAGGAGAAAAGAGGGUACAUGACUUGCCUAAGAUCACAGCAAUUACCAGAGACCAAACUAGGAAUAAGGCUCAAUUUCCUGCCUGGGGCUAACAGUCUUCCCUUGGUAUCUGUUACCAUAAGUAGCUCCUGGAGUGUCGCCAUUUGUUGACUUUUCCCUCUGUAAUUCUGUGACUUACUGGACCCCCAGCCUCUGAACUGUUAGAGCCGAUCCUUACCUGAUCGUCACUUCAACCAAAAGCCUCCUCAGCUGACGCUGCCUUUUUCUCACUCUCCAACUGACAGAACUUUGGCAUGAUUUGACAACUGAAGUGCAAACAGGAAUGUGGUGUGUGUGUGUGUGUGUGUGUGUGUGUGUGUGUGUGUGUGUGUGUGUGGUGUGUGUGUGUGCAUGCAUGCCUGUUAUAAUGUGUAUAUCUGGUGCUGUUGGGACACCCAGGAGGCAUGGACCUGCCUGUAUGUUUUCCAGCCAGCCCCAACAGGGCUGCUGACUUCCUGCUCAGGGUAACAGUUUUGUAAAAGUACAACUCUGCUCCUUGGCCCUGUCCCCAGCUUGCUCUGGUAACAGCUGCUGAACCAUGAGGCAGCAUCAUGAGGAAUUAACCAAAUUAGAGAUGGUACUGUCUGUGAGAAGCUCAGAGCAUCUGAGACAAAAGAAAAAAAAAUCCCAGCAACAAAAGGGAUUAAUCUGUCUGUGCAAUCUCUCCGGAGGACAGAUUUCUUCUAGAUGGAUCUUGUGUAAGAUCUAGGCACAGCACUUCAAGUGGCAAUCUGCGGUUGAAAUGAAUUAAUUUUCUCUCGGACUGUUUGUGAAUCUGUGGAUUGUUAAUUUUCCCGGGCAGAGACAGCAGACACACAAGACUGGAAAAUCCUGGGAGUCUGGCCCUGAGUAGACUUUCCGAGAUUGGCAAGUGUUUUUCAUUGAGGAGGAAUGUUGUUGUGGAAAGCCCCGUGGAUUGAGGACUGGGGGCCUCCAUCUGGGUGCACUUGAUGAUUUAGGCAUUUGCUGGCCGCAAGGCUCUCUGCUCUCCACCACAGCUGUGCCUCUGCUGAGACUGCCCCUGAGCUGGAGAGCUGAGGGCUGAUGCUGCUCUAGGGACCUGACACAUGGACACUUGGAGACUUGUCUGGAGCGGAGUCUCCAGCUGCAGACACUUCACUUUGUAUAAAAGUACUCCACUGUGGCUUGCCGGUUUCCUGGAGAGGGGCUGGUCGUGGGGUCCCUCAUCUGAGGCGAGCUGAUUGAUUCUUUUGUGUGCCACAGUGGAACAUGCACACAAAUUAAAGUGCUCGUCUUGGCCCCAGAAAAUGUGUAUCUUAUGGACACAGAGGGAAAUCAAGCCAUGGGGUGAUUUCUGUAGUGGAGGAUAGCUACUCUGACAUUUCUGGUUUUAGUGCCAGAGAGAAAGCGGCUAGAGCCACUCACACCGGCAACCCCGUUGUACAAGUGGCUUGCUUAAUUUUCCGUGCCUUUACUUCUGAGCACAUGAGUAUAUCUUAUACUCACACAGAGCCUGAAAGGCUACUUUUCAAAAGCAGUGAAGUAGAGUUGCCUAUCUGAACUAUAAUGUGAUGGAUGUUCAUACCAGCACUCUCUAAGUGACUAGAUGCCCAGAGUUCAAGGUCAGGCUCCCUGGGAAAGUCCGUAUUACAACCCCGACUCUUGUGUUUAUGUUCAAUUGAGGUCAGAGCAGGCCUCGGGCCAUUUCCAGUGAUGAUAAUUACAAGUAGUUCAUCAAGUGGUCAUUAAAAAAAAUCAUGGGACUUCAAAAACAGAAGUGAAUGUCACUAGGAACCAACAACAAAAAACAAAAAAAGACACUUUUCAGUGUGAAGAGUCUCUAGAGAGCUGUCUGUUGAGUUUUUCCCUGGAUCAGAGACAGGGAGUCAUUUCAGAGAGAAACAUUUACUCCGAAAAAAGUCUGUGGAAGUUUUCUCUAUAAUUAGUUUGAGGCAUGUGUCUCUGGAGGAUCCAGGCUGGUCCCUGUGACAAUAGCUAGAGCUCAUGUGUUACAGCCACUUUAAAUACUGCAGUUCCUAUGGUCAGCAAUAAUUUCCCUCUUGUGAACGCAGUUUGGAAAGUAUGAAUGGCACACACGUGCUUGUGCACAUAAUACACAUGGGGGGGCAGGCAUGUGUGUAAGUCUAUUCUCCAUCUAAUGACUGACUUUUUAAAUGAGGAGACAUCGGUUAAAUAUGCAGCCCACAGAGAGUAUUAACACACCCAGGCAUUUCUUUUGUGAGACUAUUCCUGUCUUAGUUUCUCCCAAAAAGAUGUUGGUAGCAAGGAAGCAGGAGAAAAGGGCUGGGGAGAUACUUCAGUGGGUCAAACACUUGCUGUGUACAGUGAGGACCUGAGGUUGAGCCCAUGUAAAAAGCUGGACUUGGUAGCUCACCUUUUUAAUCCUGAUGCUCCUACAGAAAGCUGGAGUUGGAGACAUAGAACUCCUGAAGCUCACAGGACAGCUAGCCUGUCACACAAAGCAGCAGCUCACUGUGAGACCUGCCUCAAGGAAUGUAAAGGGAGCCCACACACAUCUGAUGUCCGCACACUGUGGCAUGUGUGCACCUGCAUUGAUACUCUGUCUCAGAGGAACUCCUGAAAGGACGAGAGGCCGCAAGAAACACUGGUUACCAACUGACUCUGGUGUGCACAGGAUUCAGAGACCAACGCUAGAGAGCAAUCAACACAGAUUGAUUGUGGGGUACAGGAGUUGGAAUGGAAAGGGCACAGAAGGAAACAAAGUUUUUCUUUUAAUUUGGCUUUGAGUCUCUUAAUUGUCAAGUUAGGAAAUAGUCCAUGUUUGGGUCUGCUGGAAUACUCACCCAGGGGCAGUGGUGGACUGGGGUGGUCUACUCAAGCCAUACAUUUUACUGGUCAGUAAAACAGAAAUAAAAAUACAUCCUGAAGUUGUCACAGGUCCUGUGUGGACCAAGGUUGAAGGGAAGUUAGCAAAGGAAACCCAUUUCACCUUAUACUUUAGUUGGCUAAGUUCUGUUAGUCUCCGCACCCACUCACACAUAUUGCUUCUCCAAGGCCUGAAAGGCAUCACUUCUGGUCAGGCCAAGUGCUUUUCAGACUGUGCUGGGCAUCUGAGAUCGCACACUUCUGCCUGUCUCUGUCCUUCUCCCCCUGGACUGGCUGAGGCGGGCUGCAGCAGGCUGGCAAGUGGAUCACAGUCCUUAGGCAGCCUUCUGAAGCUCAGCAUUAUCACAGGCCUUUGGAGUGCUUCAAAGGGGAAGGAAGGAAGGAAGCAGACUGUGGAGUCAACAACCCUUUGAAAAUUAAAGGGAAGGUUUCAGAAUUUCCUGGGGCGAUGCCAACCGGAGCGCGAGGGAUUUGGGAAGGUACAGUCGUCUCCCUCAGCGCCAUUCUCUAGCUCCUCUCCGGAGUCCCCAAACACAUGGGGAUGACUGUUUAGCUGUGUUUCCCUUUGUUCCUAGGACACCUUUUCCCUCAGUGAAAGCAAACCCAACAUCGGCAACCAGCGCUUGGGAGCAAGAGGCAAAGGUUUUGGCACGAUCAGGCCUGCAGGGAUUGAACUUGGAGCCACACCCAUGGCCCUCUACACUGAACCCCAAGCAUGAAGCACUGAGUCCAAAGUGUCAGACAGCAUCACGGAGCUGGUGAAAACAGCAAUCAGCAUGCGUUCAGCAGCGGGGUUAUGACUUUAAAAAUCUGCCCACGGCUUCCAUGUUUUUGGACUGCUGGCGAUGUUCUACCUUUCUAUGCUUUCUGCAAGCCUGUUACUGCCCAGAUGUCUGAUAGUAACAGCAAGUGCCCAAUGAUAGAAAAAACCACGAGACCCUGCUUGCAUACUGCAGAGAAAACUUACUGCAGCCUGGGUCAGAUGUUCACUCCCAUGGCCUGCAGUUUUCUUAUAGCAAAAACUAGAAGCUUACUGUGAAUAAAAACAAAAACAACACCUGGUAGUGGUGA
Long non-coding RNA from Mus musculus (house mouse), 16026 nucleotides. RefSeq annotates it as predicted gene, 53443. Lineage: Eukaryota; Metazoa; Chordata; Mammalia; Rodentia; Muridae. The record is from RefSeq and is a predicted model, not a curated record. The transcript has 3 exons.